RNAcentral lists this ribosomal RNA (443 nucleotides) under uncultured bacterium. RNAcentral's name for it is "partial 16S ribosomal RNA". It matches the Rfam family "Bacterial small subunit ribosomal RNA", at positions 338 to 795 of the family's 1533-position model. The record is from RNAcentral.
CCUACGGGUGGCAGCAGUGAGGAAUAUUGCACAAUGGGCGAGAGCCUGAUGCAGCCACGCCGCGUGAAGGAAGACGGGUUUACGCUCGUAAACUUCUAUCAACCGGGACGCAAGACAUGACGGUCCCUGCCUCCCAAGCCCAGGCUAACUACGUGCCAGCAGCCGCGGUAUUACGUCGGGGGCAGUCGUUAUCCGGAAGUACUGGGUGUACAGGGUGAGUAGGCGGCAUGGUAAGCCAGAUGGGAAAGCCUUGGGCUUAACCCGAGGAUCGCAGUUGGAACUAUCAAGCUAGAGUACAGGAGAAGAAAGCGGAAUGCGUAGUGUAGCGGUGAAAUGCAUAGAUAUCAGGAAGAACACCAGUUGCGAAGGCGGCGUACCGGAGUGAAACUGACGCUGAGGCACGAAAGCGUGGGGAGCGAACAGGAUUAGAUACCCGGGUAGUC